This 495-nucleotide ribosomal RNA is filed under the name uncultured bacterium. RNAcentral's name for it is "partial 16S ribosomal RNA". It matches the Rfam family "Bacterial small subunit ribosomal RNA", at positions 30 to 507 of the family's 1533-position model. The record is from RNAcentral.
UGAACGCUCGCGGCGUGCCUAAUACAUGCAAGUCGAGCGAACAGACGAGGAGCUUGCUCCUCUGACGUUAGCGGCGGACGGGUGAGUAACACGUGGAUAACCUACCUAUAAGACUGGGAUAACUUCGGGAAACCGGAGCUAAUACCGGAUAAUAUAUUGAACCGCAUGGUUCAAUAGUGAAAGACGGUUUUGCUGUCACUUAUAGAUGGAUCCGCGCCGCAUUAGCUAGUUGGUAAGGUAACGGCUUACCAAGGCAACGAUGCGUAGCCGACCUGAGAGGGUGAUCGGCCACACUGGAACUGAGACACGGUCCAGACUCCUACGGGAGGCAGCAGUAGGGAAUCUUCCGCAAUGGGCGAAAGCCUGACGGAGCAACGCCGCGUGAGUGAUGAAGGUCUUCGGAUCGUAAAACUCUGUUAUUAGGGAAGAACAAAUGUGUAAGUAACUAUGCACGUCUUGACGGUACCUAAUCAGAAAGCCACGGCUAACUACGUG